GUAGAGAGUAUCUCAUAGUUU
Molecule: non-coding RNA, 21 nt
Filed under: Arabidopsis thaliana (thale cress)
Lineage: Eukaryota; Viridiplantae; Streptophyta; Magnoliopsida; Brassicales; Brassicaceae
Source: RNAcentral